CAGUCGCCGCGGUAAUACGUAGGGUGCAAGCGUUGUCCGGAAUUAUUGGGCGUAAAGAGCUCGUAGGCGGUUCGUCGCGUCUGCUGUGAAAACCCGAGGCUCAACCUCGGGCUUGCAGUGGGUACGGGCGGACUAGAGUGCGGUAGGGGAGAUUGGAAUUCCUGGUGUAGCGGUGGAAUGCGCAGAUAUCAGGAGGAACACCGAUGGCGAAGGCAGAUCUCUGGGCCGUAACUGACGCUGAGGAGCGAAAGCAUGGGGAGCGAACAGGAUUAGAUACCCCCGUAGUCCCUGUCUCUUAUAC
RNAcentral lists this ribosomal RNA (301 nucleotides) under uncultured bacterium. Its description in RNAcentral is "partial 16S ribosomal RNA". It matches the Rfam family "Bacterial small subunit ribosomal RNA", at positions 509 to 807 of the family's 1533-position model. The record is from RNAcentral.